This 212-nucleotide ribosomal RNA is filed under the name Streptomyces sp. NEAU-H3. RNAcentral describes it as "partial 23S ribosomal RNA". It matches the Rfam family "Bacterial large subunit ribosomal RNA", at positions 579 to 781 of the family's 2925-position model. The record is from RNAcentral. Lineage: Bacteria; Bacillati; Actinomycetota; Actinomycetes; Kitasatosporales; Streptomycetaceae.
GCGCAAGGACUUGUCCUUGCGUCGUGACUGCGUGCCUUUUGAAGAAUGAGCCUGCGAGUUUGCGGUGUGUUGCGAGGUUAACCCGUGUGGGGAAGCCGUAGCGAAAGCGAGUCCGAAUAGGGCGCUGUAGUAGCACGCUCAAGACCCGAAGCGGAGUGAUCUAGCCAUGGGCAGGUUGAAGCGGCUGUAAGAGGUCGUGGAGGACCGAACCC